CCUACGGGAGGCAGCAGUGAGGAAUAUUGGUCAAUGGUCGGGAGACUGAACCAGCCAAGCAGCGUGAGGGAGGAAGGUCCAGCGUAUUGUAAACCUCUUUUGUAAGGGAACAAAGUCUGGCACGCGUCCCCUGUUGUGUGUACCUUAUGAAUAAGCAUCGGCUAACUCCGUGCCAGCAGCCGCGGUAAUACGGAGGAUCCGAGCGUUAUCCGGAUUUAUUGGGUUUAAAGGGUGCGCGGGCGGGCUGUUAAGUCGGUGGUAAAAGCUGGGGGCUCAACCUAGACCCGCCGUUGAUACUGGCAGUCUUGAGUGGGAGUGAGGUAGGCGGAAUUCGCGGUGUAGCGGUGAAAUGCUUAGAUAUCGCGCAGAACUCCGAUUGCGAAGGCAGCAUGCCGGAUCGACACUGACACUGAUGCACGAAAGCGUGGGUAUCGAACAGGAUUAGAUACCCUGGUAGUC
This 459-nucleotide ribosomal RNA is filed under the name uncultured bacterium. Its description in RNAcentral is "partial 16S ribosomal RNA". It matches the Rfam family "Bacterial small subunit ribosomal RNA", at positions 338 to 795 of the family's 1533-position model. The record is from RNAcentral.